UGGGAGUUCAGCAGACAAAGACACAAAAUGAGGAGGUAACAGCCGUGAUUACAGUCUUCAAAUGUCAUCAGAGAAAAAUGCCACAAAACAUGAAUGACAUCUUAUCCAGUUCAAACCCAGAACCAUUUGUUCACAGAAGCAGAAAGACAAAAGCUGAGAGACGUAGAAAAUGAGGUGUAUGUGCACACACCCUGAUGCAUGACGAGAGCAUCCACAGCCCCACCUAGAAGCCUUUGUCCUCUCAGGCACGACUCAUCACACCGUGGGCUCAUAAAUAACCAGCAGGACUCUAUCAGCCUCAGUCUCUGAGAGGACAGCACUCAAGCAAACAACUCAUCUAUAGAACAGAAGAGAAACUUCAUCACCAUGCUGACCAACAUUUGUUUGAUCUUCCUCCUGUGUGUUGCCUCAUGCAACGGACAGUCAACCACAGCUGCGACCACUGCUGCAACCACUGCUGCAACCACUGCUGCAACCACAGCUGCAACCACUGCUGCAACCACAGCUGCAACCACAGCUGCAACCACUGCUGCAACCACAGCUGCAACCACAGCUGCAACCACAGCUGCAACCACAGCUGCAACCACUGCUGCUGCAACCACAGCUGCUGCAACCACAGUUGCUGGGGCAACAACUGCUGCUGGGGCAACAAUAGCCGCUGGGGCAACAACUGCUGCCUCUUCUGCAAUCAUCCAUAAGAUGACUCUGGUUUCUGCCAUUCUGGUUGCGAUGACACAUUUACUUCGCUGCUGCUAAAGUUGUUCACAUCCUGUCAAUGAAAUGAGAAAAUCGAAGGAUAUUUAUGAAGAUUUGAAAUUCUGUAAAUAAGCUAAUUUCUUUUGCUGUAUCAUUUAUAUUGUUUAUUCUUGUUGCCAUGGUUGCAGGUGAAUCAGUAAUCCCAGCUGAGCCUCCUGGAGAUGUGAUGUCAUCCAUCCAUCUGUGAAGGGAGAACUGAAUCUGUCUGAUAUUACCUGCAUGUCUGGUUGUAAAUGCAUCAUUUCUAAGCAACAUUCUGCAAUAAAGUUUUUACAAAACUUAAGUUUACCAUUUAUUCAGUUGCCACCAACUAUGUUCUUGCACCACAUUAAAUAAUCUGGAGGACAUAUAAAGCAAAACCUAAA
This is a long non-coding RNA of Amphiprion ocellaris (clown anemonefish), 1121 nucleotides long. Lineage: Eukaryota; Metazoa; Chordata; Actinopteri; Pomacentridae. The record is from Ensembl.